RNAcentral lists this ribosomal RNA (492 nucleotides) under uncultured bacterium. Its description in RNAcentral is "partial 16S ribosomal RNA". It matches the Rfam family "Bacterial small subunit ribosomal RNA", at positions 29 to 507 of the family's 1533-position model. The record is from RNAcentral.
AGUGAACGCUGGCGGUAGGCCUAACACAUGCAAGUCGAACGGCAGCACAGUAAGAGCUUGCUCUUACGGGUGGCGAGUGGCGGACGGGUGAGGAAUACAUCGGAAUCUACUUUUUCGUGGGGGAUAACGUAGGGAAACUUACGCUAAUACCGCAUGCGACCUACGGGUGAAAGCAGGGGAUCUUCGGACCUUGCGCGAUUGAAUGAGCCGAUGUCGGAUUAGCUAGUUGGCGGGGUAAAGGCCCACCAAGGCGACGAUCCGUAGCUGGUCUGAGAGGAUGAUCAGCCACACUGGAACUGAGACACGGUCCAGACUCCUACGGGAGGCAGCAGUGGGGAAUAUUGGACAAUGGGCGCAAGCCUGAUCCAGCCAUACCGCGUGGGUGAAGAAGGCCUUCGGGUUGUAAAGCCCUUUUGUUGGGAAAGAAAAGCAGCAGGUUAAUACCCCGCUGUUCUGACGGUACCCAAAGAAUAAGCACCGGCUAACUUUGUG